UCCCAGAGCCUGGCCUGGCAGAUACCCUCUCCCUUAGGUCUGCGCUGCUCUCUCUGAUAACUGCAUGGGCCAGGUCAAGCAGAAUCCUCCCCAGGAAUGUUCCUGGCUGCGACGGAUGAAAGAAAGAGGCUCAUUUAUAUCCCUUGGCGUCCAGAACUGUUAGCAGUGGCCUGGAGGCCUCACUUCCUGAACAGUGCAGGAGAAAAGGAUGCUGAUAGCAGAGAAGGUGAUGGACAGAGAGUCCUGGGGGACUUGGGUCCAGGCUCCGGUCUUCCUCGGACACGUCCCUGUCCCUCCUGCUAGCCGGAGACAAUAACUCCAUUUUACUUUGAGUUCCCUGAAGUUGGAUUUGACAAAUGAUUGAAGAUCAUCUACGGGGACUUAAUUACUGAAUCUUUGAAAAGGUUCAUUGGGCUUUGAAUUUGUGGCUCCUUCCACCUAAUCUCCGGCUCAGUUGUGUGCAUUACUCUGAGGAGAGCUCUGCAGUGAUGUCCCAGGGGCCUCGCCUAAGUAAGGACAUCUGUGGCCACUCGUGCAAUAAGCCAUCGAUUCACCCUUUACUAGGUGUGCCUGUUUCCUAGGGCGGCCCUAAUGAGUCCCACAAACUGAGUGGCUCAAAAAACAGAAAUGUAUUGUCUCAUAGCUCUGCAGGCUGAAAGUCCAAGGUCAAGGUCAAGAGAGUUGGUUUCCUCUGAAGCUGUGAGGGAGAAUCUAUUCCAGGCCUCAGCUUUUGGUGUUUCUUGGCUGGUAGAUGCAUUGUCCCAAUCUCAGCCUUUCUCUUCAUGUGCUGUUUGCCCCGUGUACACGUGUCUCCAAACUUCCCCUUUUUAUAAGGAAGGGCACCCAUUGUAUUGGAUUAAGGCCCACUCUGAUAACCUGGUCUUAUGACCAACUAAUUGGAUCUGCAACGACUCAGUUUUCAAUUGGGUCCCAUUGUGGAUACUGGGGAUUGGACUUCAACAUAGGAAUUCUGGGAUGGGGAUGGGGGGACACAAUUCAACCCAGGCCACUAGGGAAUCAGGUAGGGGAAAUAAAACCUAAGCACAAGCCUCCUGUUCACCCAGAGGAAGGCUUUGGGAAGUAGACAUACAGAUGGCAUGGACCCUGAAUUUGAAUGUCACUUUUAUGAGUUAAUCCAGCUUGGUGGCCUUGGGCAAGUCAUUUAAGCUUCCUGUGUUUGAGAGAUAAGCAGGGUGGGCUGGACUGGUGGUUUUCAAAACACAUUCCAUGGAGCCACUGGGGCUUGUUUGGGUUGGGGCGUUGGGAGGGAAGUUGGUAGAUCGUUGAUACCCCACACUCACAUCACCCAGGGGUGUGCCCAGAGAUCCACCUUGGCAGACGGCAGUAUUCUAUCAGUGAUGUUAUUAGAAUUGCCAGUGUGCAGCGAAAACACAAAGCUGACCGACUCUUCAUUGGCUUUAUGGUUUUUCAAUUCUCUGCAAAUAAUGCAUCUCUUGCCUGUUCCCUGGGAGGACAGCUCAGGCAGACCGACCCCAGCAAUCCCUACCUUUGUACGCACGGCUCCCCCAAGUGGUUCUAUGCUUACUGGUUGUAUAUAUAAGGAUUCCAAGAAUAUUUUUGUUUGGAUAAAGAGCUCUGCUAAAAAAAAUUAGUUUUCGUCUAGAAAACAACCAAAGGAUCUCUCAGUUUCCUUCUGGUCCUAAGAUUCUGCGUGUCUCUUAAAAAGUAGUCAAUCUUUUUAGAAUUUUCAUUCUCUACCUUUGGAAACUUAAUGUUAUUAAUAAUUACUUAAACAUGGCACUAAAGAUUGCUCAAGGCAUGGCAAAUAUUUUCAUUUUUCACUGAAUGGGGCUCCGACAGAGGAGUGUAACUUCCAGGGUGGACGCUGCAUUUUUUUUUUUUUUUUUUUUAACAGCUGCACCUACAGCAUGUGGAAGUUCCCAGGCAAGGGGCUGAAAUGGAGCUGCAGCUGCUGGCUUAUACCACAGCCACAGCAGUGUGGGAUCCGAGCUGUAUCUUUGACCUAUACCGCAGUUUUCAGCAACGCCGGAUCCUUAAUCCACUGAGCAAGGCUAGGGAUUGAAACCGCCGCCUCACGGAGACAACCUUGGGUCCUUAAACCGCUGAGCCAAAAUGGGACUUCCCUGGAUGCUGCAUCUGAAUGGAGAUGAGACUGGAAAGUGGCUGGCUCCACCGAGGGGUGGGUUUGUCUAUGGAGGACUGUCUUUUCUCUUAACUCUCUCAUUUAAAUAACUGGGAAUGUCUUAUAUAUACAAUUUCUGCUGGGAAGGAAGAUGUUUGCAGUGUGCCUAUAUCUGGGCUGGUAGUUUUUGUCAAGUAGUGAAAACCCCACUUGGUAUGUAUCAUGGAGCCCUGGAUGGCUGUGGUACCAAACCCGGUUUAUUAUAGCUCCUGGCCUUCCACUUGGCACCCCUUCUGCAAAGGUGCCCUGCACUCGACUGUAGUGGUAACCCCCUUUCAUCCUCACCCUCUAACUUUCCUAUGCUGCCCCUGCCUACAGGGUAGAACCACUAUUCUGCUGAGAUUUUUUUUUUCUCAUCUAAUGUUGUUCUCAUUUUAGGAAAGAGAAAUAAAUAUUUUGAUAUAUAAUAAUUAUUAUUAAUGCUUAUUAAGCAUGUACUCAAUGCCAGGCACUGGUCCAGUUGCUUUACAGAUAUAAUAUAAACCUGUCUCAUUCUCCCAACAACCCUAGGGGGAGGUACCAUCAUCUCCCCCACGGGCCAGUGAGGAAGCAGCACACAGGGGUGAUGCCACUGAUUUAGUCGAGGAUCUGAAGGCAGACAGCCUGGCUGUUAACCAGAUGAGGUGCAUGUGUUGCACUUCACAUGUGCCGUUAGAAGAAAGGUGUUUGGACUGCAUCCCUCUUCUUGCUGUUGACGCAAUCCCGGCAUCUAGGAAGUGAUGAACUAGUGUGUGAUGAAGAGUCCAAAGCAGGACUGCUGUUUAUCCCACCGGUCCUUUAGGGGAGCAGAAGUGGAAGCCAGCGUGCCAGCGACAUUGUUUUUUGCCCCUGCCACCCCCUACGGUAAAGGUGCCUCCCUCCACCCCUUCCAGCCUGGGGUGGGGGAAGAGGAAUUUCCCUGGUUUCUCUCCCAUGGUGGGGUGGGGGUUGAGGGUGGGUGACAAGUCCAGAAACAGAAGGAAGGGCGUCAUCAGUAAAGUGGGGGUUUCCGGGGCUGAGAUUUAGCAGUGGACAGAGAAAACAAUUGCUUCGAGGGGAAAAAAAAGUGCCUGUUCUAACUUUAGAGUCUGCCUCUAUUUAGUUCUACUCCUUGGUUUCUGCCACAGAUCAAGGCCUAUAUGGCAUUCACUUUAUAAAUAAGCAUGUCCUGCCCGCCUUUGGUCCCGACUUCAAAAUCCUCCCCAUCCUUUCUGACCUUGACCAUAGGCUACCACUGCUUAUGAAGCCUCUGCUGAUGCCUCCAGUGAAUACACUUCCUCCCCAGCUCCUUCCUGCGUAGCUCUCUUUCUAUUGCUCUACGUCUGGCAAAGAGCAGCAUCCUACAGGCUCCCAGGAUGUUUUGGAGACCAUGCCGAAGCCUUCGUCUUACAAUUUCAAGGUCACUCUGUUUACAGCCUUUGAGCACCUGGACUCAUAUACAUGAUGAAAGGGGGGGGAAUCUCCUUCCUUCUUAUUUUUGUCCUGAUGCUUAUUUAGCGUUUCCUCCCCAUUAGCUACAGAUGCCAUUUUACGAACAGCAGCCUGCUCCCCACCAACAUUCUCCUGUGUGGAGCUGGACAUGUUACAAUGUGGUCAGAUGGUUCUCAGAUGAUUUUAACUUCUUUUCAGGCAACUAAUUGUGACCACAUGGAUGCGGUUCAAUCUGAGGGUAGGCUGAUUUUUUUUUUUUUUCUCCCCCUGGAAUUGAGAGCUAAAAAAAAAAAUAUCUAGGGUUAUUUAUUUGUUUAUUUAUUUAUUUUAGAAUACGACCUCAAAAACCUUACAAGUGUGUAAAACAAAGUCAAAGUUAAACACUGCAAUUACCAAACACCAUUCUCUUUUCCUUAGGAAAGCCAAGACACUACAAUGUACUUGAAGAGUUUUGAGCAGGAUCAAAUUCUGUGCCUCAUGCAGGAGCUGCUUCCCUGGAGUUCGUAAAAAUUGCCCACAGGGUGAUUCCCCCCCAAAUACCCUUGCCCCCACCCCCAAAUACCCUUUUGUUUUAAAAAUAAUUUAUAUUCCUCUUUCUUGUACGGGUUGCUCACUUUGUGUGAUAACUCUCUUCAGUGGUAUGAGGGGAAAAAUUAAUAGACAUUGUUGUUCUAGCUGGUCCAGAAGAUUUUCUGACGAUGUCAUCAGGGUAAAGAUUAAAUGGUGUCCUUUGAAUGUUUUUACAUGGGUCAUUGAUCUAACUACUUUAAUUCAUCACGGAAAACAUAAAAAGAGAAACAGCCCUUACCCUGCCAAAACAAAAACAGAAAAAGAAGCAGAAGCUGUAGGAUAGAAAGCACUGCUGCUUUCCUCUUGCCAAUAAAAGGGGCAGUUGAAAUUCAGACAGCGGGGUCAGUGUUCAACUGUCCGCUGAUAUCAAAGCUGAUAAAUUACAUCGGGAGCGGAGUCUGCACACACUCGGUAGGGCCCCCUGGGCUCAUUAAGUUAUAUAACCAUCUUUGAUUUCAAUAAGGGCUACUGACCAGAAAGCCCAGCUAGCUAUACGCUAUAAGCCUAGAAAGCUACUUACUGGGUUAUUAAGGGCUGCUAAUAUGUGGUUAAGACUUUUUCGUAUAAUAAAACAUGUCUCAUUUCAGGAGUACAUAAGAAUUUCAUUUUUGUGGCUCUCUUUUCCUAUUUGGGCUUUUGCCCUUAAGAAAGUAGGAAUGGUGGCAUUCCCAUUGUGGCUCACUGGGUUAAGGAUAUUGUGAGAUGCUGUUCUGUGAGGAUGCUGGUUCUAUCCUAGCCUCAUCCAGUGGGCUAUGGAUCUAGCAUUUCUGGAAGCUGUGCUGUAGGUUGCAGAUGUGGCUGGGAUCUGGCAUUGCUGUGGCUGUGGUGUAGGCUGGUAGCUGCAGCUCUGAUUUGACCCCUAGCCUAGGAACUUCCAA
RNAcentral lists this long non-coding RNA (5022 nucleotides) under Sus scrofa (pig). RNAcentral describes it as "lncRNA (ENSSSCG00000054252.1)". Lineage: Eukaryota; Metazoa; Chordata; Mammalia; Artiodactyla; Suidae. The record is from RNAcentral.